CACCUUGCCAAAUAUAAUACAUUAAUACUCAAUGUCAAAAAACAAUAUGAUUUUUUCAAUUUAUUUGUUGGGAUUAUUAAUAAUUUAAUAUUCUUAUGUAAAUGGGUCUAUCUUGGUGACAGUGAUGUAAAUUAUACAUUGGUAUUAUUAUUUUAGGUUAAUAACACUAGGAAAACUAAAUCCAACAUCAUUGACAUUGUUUAGAGUAUAAUAUGAUCCAUAAAUGAGGUGGAGAAAUAUCUUAGUAACAAGCUAACUAAAAGAAGUCCAGACCAGGGUCUCUAAUGGCUGCUACUAGCUUAUGAAACAUGGAUAUUUGGCAAGAAAGCAGAUGAAGAAAAAACAAGCAAGGUGACUACCACAACUUAAAUCUGAAAAGCAUCAUGAGGACAGUAUACAGGUUACAAGGAUUAAAGAGAAUAAACAACCAUAGAGAAAAAAUAUACUUAUAGAUGUGGGAGAGAGAAAUUACGUGAUAAAUUUCAUUGUAAUAUGAAUCAAUGAAUGGGAUACAUCAGGGUUUCCUAUGCGACGUUUAUGCGUCGCAUAAACGUCCAUGCGCAAUUCCAGACCCUCGCAUAGGUGUUCUAUGCGUUUCGGGUCUGGGUCGGGUCUACGGGUCAGAGCGGGUAAAACCCAAUUACCCGUUACUUAUUUAAAAAAAAUUAAAAAAAAACCCAAAACCCUAAAUUAAAAAAAAACCCAAACCCAAAAUAAAAAAAACCAACGAUUCCCGUCGGCCAGCACUCCCCUUCUUCCCGUCCUUAGAAGAGGAUGUUGAGCAAGCUCCUUAGACCUUAGAGUCCUUGGGCUUAGACUAUUGUUAAUCACUUAAUCUUAAUUAUAUAGUUUUAGACUUUGUUAUGCAAUUUCUAUUUACUAUUUAGACUUUUAAACUUUAUUGGAUCAUUGGAACACUAUUUGCUAUAUUAUAUUAUUCAUAUAUUAUGGAAAUAUCAGGGGUAUUUAUAAAAAAUACAUGUAAAUAUAACAUGUCGCAUAUUUACGUAUAUGCGCGUAUAUGCACGCAUAUACUUAUAUGCUUAAAAUGCCAUCGCAUGAACGCAUAGACGCAUAGGAAACCUUGGGAUACAUUACAUAAUUAAUUCAAUCAAAGUAUAUCGGGCUAAUGAGGUCUUCAACCUUAAAAAGCUGUGGUAGUAGAUCGCAUCUUACCAAAGCAUUUUGAGAAAUAUGUUUAAUAGCCGUGGUAGUAGAUCACAUUUUAAAAAAAUGAUCAUGUUUCAUAAUGAAUCGAUUGCUAGAAAAAUUGUCAAAGAAAAGAGGAUUAAGAAGAAGAAAAACUUUAUUAAAAAAAGGAAGGGAAAUUCAGAAAUAAAGGGUUUGAUAAAGAUUUCAAUAAUUAUAGAAUAAUAUACUAUAGCUCCUGAUAUAGAGAAAGCAAUGACUAAACUAGGAAAUUGAUAAAGGUCAAUGAAAUAUAAUGAUCGACGAACUAAAAGAAAUAAAAUAAUGUUCAACUAAAAUCUAAAUAACAAUUGGAAAAUAAUUAAGGAGGCUUCAAACUAGGUAAUUGAUUCCGAACAUCUCCUGGUCAGGAUUGACUGGGUCCUUACCAUCAGUUUAAAUGUUUAAUAUACUACUGAACCUGGAUAUUCUGUAUAUCAGCAAGUAUAUAUAUAACAUAUCAGAUAAACUUCAUUGGUUAAUGAUCAAUGUUCUACUAUUUGAUCAAUAGUAAAUAUCAUAAACUGAUGACUGAACAAAGUAAUACAUUUUUAAAUUGGAAAAGAAAUUUAUUUCAAAAAUACAUAAUUGUUAGGAAAAAAAUCAAUCAAUGCAUUCUGCCAUUCUUAUCCAAAAAAAGAUAAAUUGUAGUGUUUAACAUUAAACAAUUUGCUGAUCCAUGUUCUAAUGCUACCAUUUUAUAAGCUACGGUACAGACAUGAACGGAUAACUAUAAAAAAAAUGAGACACCUCAAGGCUAUAAGACCCAAAUUCAAUAUGGUAAAUGGGUAAGAAAAGAAAAGUUACAUACCAC
This 2002-nucleotide long non-coding RNA is filed under the name Zostera marina. RNAcentral's name for it is "long non-coding RNA (ZMAR_LNC003276)". The record is from RNAcentral. Lineage: Eukaryota; Viridiplantae; Streptophyta; Magnoliopsida; Alismatales; Zosteraceae.